AUUGAUUUACGUAUAGUACAUAGUUUCAUUAUUGCAAAUCAUAAUUUUGGUUUUUAUUUUAAUUCAAAUUUAACAAUUAUAUCAAGACUUUGUUUUUUUAUCUAAUAUUUUUCAUUUCUUUAGAAUGCAUGAGUAUUCCUUUAUUUUUGUUUAUUUAUUUCUUUCCAUUUUUUCUAACAACCAUAUAAUUUAGACUUGUUUGGAAUGUAUUAUAACAAAG
RNAcentral lists this long non-coding RNA (220 nucleotides) under Vigna radiata. RNAcentral's name for it is "long non-coding RNA (VRAD_LNC018352)". Lineage: Eukaryota; Viridiplantae; Streptophyta; Magnoliopsida; Fabales; Fabaceae. The record is from RNAcentral.